AUUGCAGGCUGNAACCCGCCUGCAUGAAGUCGGAAUUGCUAGUAAUCGCGGAUCAGCAUGCCGCGGUGAAUACUUCCCGGGCCUUGUACACACCGCCCGUCACACCAUGGGAGCCGGUAAUACCCGAAGUCAGUAGUCCAACCUCGUGAGGACGCUGCCGAAGGUAGGAUUGGCGACUGGGGUGAAGUCGUAACAAGGUAUC
RNAcentral lists this ribosomal RNA (202 nucleotides) under uncultured bacterium. RNAcentral describes it as "partial 16S ribosomal RNA". It matches the Rfam family "Bacterial small subunit ribosomal RNA", at positions 1297 to 1500 of the family's 1533-position model. The record is from RNAcentral.